GGGCUCGAGACCGGUCUACACCGGGAUGUUCAUAACCCUUUGUUGUCCGACUCUGUUGCCUCCGGGGCGACCCUGCCUUCGGAAGGGGGCUCCGGGUGGACACUUCAAACUCUUGCGUAACUUUGCAGUCUGAGUAAAUUUAAUUAAUAAAUUAAAACUUAUAACAACGGAUCUCUUGGUUCUGGCAUCGAUGAAGAACGCAGCGAAAUGCGAUAAGUAAUGUGAAUUGCAGAAUUCAGUGAAUCAUCGAAUCUUUGAACGCACAUUGCGCCCCCUGGUAUUCCGGGGGGCAUGCUUGUUCGAGCGUCAUUACACCACUCAAGCCCCGCUUGGUAUUGGGCAACGCGGUCCGCCGCGUGCCUCAAAUCGACCGGCUGGGUCUUCUGUCCCCUAAGCGUUGUGGAAACUAUUCGCUAAAGGGUGCUCGGGAGGCUACGCCGUAAAACAAACCCAUUUCUAAGGUUGACCUCGGCUCAGGUAGGGAUACCCGCUGAACUUAAGCAUAUCACCAAGCGGAGGAA
This 521-nucleotide ribosomal RNA is filed under the name Cladosporium cladosporioides. RNAcentral's name for it is "eukaryotic LSU rRNA". The stretch from base 156 to 309 matches the Rfam family "5.8S ribosomal RNA". Lineage: Eukaryota; Fungi; Ascomycota; Dothideomycetes; Cladosporiales; Cladosporiaceae. The record is from RNAcentral.